Molecule: small nuclear RNA, 118 nt
Organism: Ochotona princeps (American pika)
Lineage: Eukaryota; Metazoa; Chordata; Mammalia; Lagomorpha; Ochotonidae
Gene: U5
Rfam family: U5 spliceosomal RNA
About the family: U5 RNA is a component of both types of known spliceosome. The precise function of this molecule is unknown, though it is known that the 5' loop is required for splice site selection and p220 binding, and that both the 3' stem-loop and the Sm site are important for Sm protein binding and cap methylation.
Source: Ensembl
AUACUCUGGUUUCUCUUCAGAUCGUAUAAAUCUUUCGCCUUUUACUAAAGAUUUCCGUGGAGAGGAACAAUUCUGAGUCAUUAACCAAUUUUUUGAGGCCUUACCUUUUGGUGAGGCU